Molecule: long non-coding RNA, 761 nt
Organism: Gasterosteus aculeatus (three-spined stickleback)
Lineage: Eukaryota; Metazoa; Chordata; Actinopteri; Perciformes; Gasterosteidae
Source: Ensembl
GUGUCGUGAUGCCUCAGAACGUUAUGAACCGUGACGGUGGACGAGGAGGAACUCGCCACAGCACCUGUAGAGCCUCCGGUCGGGGCCCGGGUCUGGUUCGUGGAGGCGCUGCUCUCAAUGGCGUGCUGGCCGCUCCUCCCCAGAGCACGGCUCGGUUCACCCAGGGGAACGGCGCCCAGCCACCGCGUGUGGUUGAGGGUGACGUUAACCAUUGGUACAAGAGCAAGAAGGCAGCGCCCCCGAGGACACUGAAGAAACGGGGAGGCCCCGCCUCCCCUGUCACUCAUGCCUCAGCGGCUGGCAGGGUCUGUAGUGCGGGCAGCCUCGCUGGUGUGUCGGGGAAGGGGGCCGCCAGUCUAGACGCCGCCGCCUCGCCUGUUGACUGUCAACAAAUGGCGCCACGAGUCAUCCUGUCCAAGAACCAGAGAAGAAGAAACCGGAAAGCCUGUCCAGAGAACCAUACACUCUCAGGAAUACCACCCCCACCACCACCGGAGGAGGAGGAGGAGGAGGACUGGGAAAAGGAGAGCCAAGAGGUCACGCUGAUUGACUGGGAAAAUAACUGUUUUGGCAUCAAUCCCUACGGUCCACAGGAUGUGAUCCAUUUUUCCUUGCGGUAUUCACCCUUCCAGCGAAGGCACGAAGUCGUCCCACUAUUGAUGGCUGGUUACAGCCCGGAGGUGCACCACCCGCAGCCCGUCCGUUGGAGGCACUACGGCACCCCCACCGAGCAAGGGCAGUUUGCAGACGCUGACCACUAG